UACGUAGGGACCGAGCGUUGUCCGGAAUCAUUGGGCGUAAAGAGCGUGUAGGCGGCUUGUUAAGUCUUGCGUGAAAUCUCGGGGCUCAACCCCGAGCGGUCGUGAGAAACUGGCAGGCUAGAGUGCGGGAGAGGAGAGUGGAAUUCCUGGUGUAGCGGUGAAAUGCGUAGAUAUCGAGAGGAACACCUGCGGCGAAGGCGGGUUGCUGGGCUGAUACUGACGCUGAGGCGCGAAAGCCAGGGGAGCGAACGGG
This 253-nucleotide ribosomal RNA is filed under the name uncultured bacterium. Its description in RNAcentral is "partial 16S ribosomal RNA". It matches the Rfam family "Bacterial small subunit ribosomal RNA", at positions 524 to 776 of the family's 1533-position model. The record is from RNAcentral.